This 166-nucleotide ribosomal RNA is filed under the name Hyaloscyphaceae sp. RNAcentral's name for it is "partial large subunit ribosomal RNA". It matches the Rfam family "Eukaryotic large subunit ribosomal RNA", at positions 99 to 261 of the family's 3401-position model. Lineage: Eukaryota; Fungi; Ascomycota; Leotiomycetes; Helotiales; Hyaloscyphaceae. The record is from RNAcentral.
CGGCAACAGCUCAAAUUUGAAAUCUGGUCUCCUCGAGGCCCGAGUUGUAAUUUGCAGAAGAUGCUUCGGGCGUGGCCCGGGCCUAAGUGCCUUGGAACAGGACGUCACAGAGGGUGAGAAUCCCGUAUGUGGCCAGGUGCCCACGCCCAUGUGAAGCUCUUUCGAC